CGGGAGGCAGCAGCAGGGAAUUUUGCGCAAUGGGCUAACGCCUGACGCAGCGACGCCGCGUGGGGGAAGAAGGCCUUCGGGUUGUAAACUCCUUUUCUGGGGGAAGAGAGCGGACGGUACCCCAGGAAUAAGCCCCGGCUAACUACGUGCCAGCAGCCGCGGUAAUACGUAGGGGGCGAGCGUUGUCCGGAAUUAUUGGGCGUAAAGGGCGCGUAGGCGGCCUAGGAAGUCCUCGGUGAAAUCUCUCGGCUCAACCGAGAGCGGUCCGAGGAAACUCCUAAGCUCGAGGACGGCAGAGGAGGGUGGAAUUCCCGGUGUAGUGGUGAAAUGCGUAGAUAUCGGGAGGAACACCAGUGGCGAAGGCGGCCCUCUGGGCUGUACCUGACGCUGAGGCGCGAAAGCGUGGGGAGCGAACCGGAUUAGAUACCCGGGUAGUCCACGCCCUAAACUAUGGAUGCUGGGUAUAAGGGGUAUCGAACCCCCUUGUGCCGA
This 492-nucleotide ribosomal RNA is filed under the name uncultured bacterium. RNAcentral's name for it is "bacterial SSU rRNA". It matches the Rfam family "Bacterial small subunit ribosomal RNA", at positions 342 to 849 of the family's 1533-position model. The record is from RNAcentral.